GUGAGGAAUAUUGGUCAAUGGACGAGAGUCUGAACCAGCCAAGUCGCGUGAAGGAAGACGGUUCUAUGAAUUGUAAACUUCUUUUGUGCAGGAAUAAAGUGGGUUACGUGUAACCUUUUGUAUGUACUGUACGAAUAAGGAUCGGCUAACUCCGUGCCAGCAGCCGCGGUAAUACGGAGGAUCCGAGCGUUAUCCGGAUUUCUUGGGUUUAAAGGGUGCGUAGGUGGAUUGAUAAGUCAGCGGUGAAAGUUUGCAGCUUAACUGUAAGAUUGCCGUUGAAACUGUGGGUCUUGAGUGCAAAUGAGGUAGGAGGAAUGUGUUGUGUAGCGGUGAAAUGCUUAGUUAUAACACAGAACUCCGAUUGCGAAGGCAGCUUACUGGGAUGCAACUGACACUGAUGCACGAAAGCGUGGGUAUCAAACAGGAUUAGAAACCCUUGUAGUCC
This 445-nucleotide ribosomal RNA is filed under the name uncultured bacterium. RNAcentral's name for it is "partial 16S ribosomal RNA". It matches the Rfam family "Bacterial small subunit ribosomal RNA", at positions 354 to 796 of the family's 1533-position model. The record is from RNAcentral.